CACAAAUUGGUGUUCAGUAGAAUUGAAUUUGUGGCUUCAGUACUUUAACUUCCCUUAACACACUUUCUAUAAAUACAUAUUCAACUGUUGGUCUUUCACAUAACCUACUGGAAGGCACACAAUUAAGAACUCACUGGUGAAACACGAACAGCUGUUAACUGAAGCAGGAUUUUUUUGUUUUAGAAUAUGUAGACCUCGGUCUCUGAUGAAGUGCAGUGACACGAAACGCGUCAGACCUCAUGGCGCAGGGUUACACAGUUUGUUAAAAUGUUAAAUCUUCAAUAAAAUCAAAGUCUUUUACCAAUGAUCUGAAGACCAAGCGAUUCCUUGGGUGAUCCGAAGAGUGCGUUGCCCAGAACUCUUGUGUGUGCAACAUUGCGUUUUCCCUUAGCGACGGACUCAGGGCGGCUGCACCUGGGUCACAACGAAGUCCGGAAACGGCAAAAAAGCGACCAUCCAUUCUGCGGCGCUUGACUUCUCCUCCCUGGCUAUUCACUGACAGCUCGUCCUCUGCAGCCAUCUCAUUCUCCAGCUCUUCUUCAUCCUCCCAGGAGCAGCAGUAGGAAUGCAAUGUCGGCAGGCUCCCCAUUGGAUUCACAAGGGGUGCAGGAAAGUAUAGGAGGGCAGUGUGUCCAUUCCUGCCUUGCAGAACCGGUGCCAAUACCUACUCCUCCUCCUGCACUGCUGCUGCCGCAGGGUGUGUGUUCAGCGUGGAACUUUGGUUGAAUGCUGUGUUAGUGCAGCAAUUGUGGCCUCCCAUCCGGUAACCUCCUCUCCGUGUGCGCACUUGCUGCAGCCACGUACUGUUUGGUUGCGGCAAAAAACUAAGUGCGCUGAUGCGCAUGCUUACACGAGCGCCAACGAGGUUGUCGGAAGGAAGGCCCUGAGGCAGUAGCCCUCAGGGUCCGGAGGUGAGGCCCUGAGACAGAAGCCGGGAAGAAAUCCAGGUUGUGGACCUGGGCUGGCAUGCCCACUAGAGCCGGGGGCCCACCAGUCCGACCCUGCUCAUAUCUAUAUUCAUAUUCCUGAUGAGUAUGCCCAAUCCCUUUAUUUACCGAUAUGGGAUCUAUCAUACAGAAUCAGUUAUCCAGAAUGCU
Long non-coding RNA from Xenopus laevis (African clawed frog), 1097 nucleotides. RefSeq lists it as uncharacterized. NCBI's taxonomy places the organism in Eukaryota, Metazoa, Chordata, Amphibia, Anura, Pipidae. The transcript has 3 exons. The record is from RefSeq and is a predicted model, not a curated record.